RNAcentral lists this non-coding RNA (27 nucleotides) under Mus musculus (house mouse). The record is from RNAcentral. Lineage: Eukaryota; Metazoa; Chordata; Mammalia; Rodentia; Muridae.
CUGCUGUGCAAAAGAUUCACGUCCAAG